UAUUUAAGCCUAAGAUUCAUUUUGAGUUAAUUAUUAUGAAAGAUAAUGAUCAAGCUAAUAUUUCUCCCCAUACAGAUAUCCAGUUGUUCUAGUGCCAUGUGUCGAAAGGAUUAUUUUCUCUCCAUGGAAUUACCUUGCUGAAAAAUGAAUUGAUCAUGAACAAAUGAAAAGGAAGACUAUCCAAAAGAAAACAUCAGGAAGAUGCUCCAGUUUUCUGGUCACCUGGAGUUCCACCCUCACCUGCUUCUCCUGCUGGCACCUGCUUCUCUGAACGCCACAAACCCUUCUUUGGCCAUCUCAUCACCUUCUGUCAAGUAAACUAGGCAUUCCUCAGACUCUCACAACCGAGACCUCCCUGGUAAGCUCCA
This 368-nucleotide long non-coding RNA is filed under the name Suricata suricatta (meerkat). RNAcentral's name for it is "lncRNA (ENSSSUG00005001126.1)". Lineage: Eukaryota; Metazoa; Chordata; Mammalia; Carnivora; Herpestidae. The record is from RNAcentral.